Long non-coding RNA from Ochotona princeps (American pika), 307 nucleotides. RefSeq lists it as uncharacterized. Lineage: Eukaryota; Metazoa; Chordata; Mammalia; Lagomorpha; Ochotonidae. The transcript is spliced from 3 exons. The record is from RefSeq and is a predicted model, not a curated record.
CCUCCCACCUCCCGCCACUCCACUCGCAGCCGGGCUGACUGAGCACAGGGCUAGCCCGUGAGUAGCGGCGGCUUGUUUGCCGGGACGACGCGCGGCAUCACAAAGGCGCGAGGCAGGACGAAACUCAAGGCAGCAAAGACCGGCUUUCGCCCACCUAGUGCACAUUCGCCCCCUACCCUCAGGUUGGCAGCUUCACGCCCGAGGGGGGAGUCUCCAAGACAGGUGGUGAGCACCAGACAGCCCUGGGGCAGCUAGGCGGGAUGCGGCAGCGCGGACAGCAGUGUUAAGCGCCCCCACGCUGGGCCCA